Molecule: ribosomal RNA, 540 nt
Filed under: Thrybius sp. 3 BFS-2018
Lineage: Eukaryota; Metazoa; Arthropoda; Insecta; Hymenoptera; Ichneumonidae
Description: partial 16S large subunit ribosomal RNA
Rfam family: Bacterial large subunit ribosomal RNA (bases 400-540)
Source: RNAcentral
AUGUYUUAAAGAAAGAUAAUUUUAAGUYGAAUUUGCUCCAUGAUUAAAUUUAAAUAGCUGCAGAAUUUUAACUGUACAAAGGUAGCAUAAUCAAUAGUUUUUUAAUUAAAAGCUGGAAUGAAUGAUUUGAUAAGGUAAUUAUUGUCUCAAAUUUAAUAAAAUUAUAAUUUUUUUUUUAGUUAAAAUACUAGAAAAUAUUUAAAAGACGAGAAGACCCUAUAGAUUUUUAUAUUUAAAAAUUUAAUAAAUUAAAAAUAUAUAAAUAAAAUAUUAAAAAUUAAAAUAUUUGGUUGGGGUAAUUAUUAAAUUAAUAAAAUUUUAAUUAAUUUGAAACAAUAAUUAAUGAAUUUUUGAUCUUGUGUAAAAAAAGUAUAAAUUAAUAGAAUAAAAUACCUUAGGGAUAACAGCGUAAUUUUUUUUGAGAGAUCUUAUUGAUAAAAAAGUUUGCGACCUCGAUGUUGAAUUAAGAUAAAAUUUUAAUGUAGAAGUUAAAAAUUUUUGGUCUGUUCGACCAUUAAAAUCUUACGUGAUCUGAGUUCA